This 108-nucleotide small RNA is filed under the name Chryseobacterium profundimaris. Its description in RNAcentral is "Flavo-1 RNA". It matches the Rfam family "Flavo-1 RNA". The record is from RNAcentral. Lineage: Bacteria; Pseudomonadati; Bacteroidota; Flavobacteriia; Flavobacteriales; Weeksellaceae.
UCCUAGCCCCGAUUGCAGUGAAAAUCCUUUUUGCGGCUGAAAGUCCCUCUCCUCGGGAGAGGGAUUUAGGGUGAGGAAAAAAGAUUGCAACGGAAAGCGGGAAUAAGC